CGGGCCCAGCCUCUCCGCGGCAUGAGGGAUCUUCCCGGACCGGGACACGAACCUGUGUCCCCUGCAUCGGCAGGCGGACUCUCAACCCCUGCGCCACCAGGGAAGCCCCACCAUUUUGUUUUUUGAAGAAAUUAGAAGACAACAAUUACCACUUCCUGUGCUCCCACCCCAUAAGUACAGGGUAUCUUGAUACUAAAAUAAUAGAAUUAAGGCAUGCAUACUUGAGAAAAGGAGAACCCUUUUCACUGAAUGCAUGUAGCUUUAUGGAAACUUCACUGCAGUAGCCCGGUUUCCUCAGCGGGCAGUGGAGUAGGAAGUUGGGUCACAGAGAUCCAAUCAGGGGAAUUGCAUCUGGAAAAUUCUAAAACGAGGGCCAUGUGGGCAUCCAUGACACUCAAGGGCAAGCAAGCCACCACCCUCACGGGCACACACACCAGACUCACCCCUUCCGAGGGACGGCCACAAGUGCAUACGCGCACGCACACACACACACACACACACACGCUCCUCCCCGGGGCUCCCGGGUUGGAAAACCUGCCCUGGCAUUUAGGUGUGGCCAUGCUUCUCUCCUGAGCCCAGAGCCGAGGGUGGGGCUCACCCAGCCCGUGUCAACCGGUGGAGCCAGGUGGGUGCUGACCCGGGGCCAGAGGUGGGCCACCCGCUCAGGCCCCUGGCCCACUGCCUCUGGCCGGGAGACCAGAGCUCUGUCCACCUACAGGGAGUCCAGGGCCUUGUUGUGCACCCCUGGUUAGGGCUGUGACCUUGAGCCAUUCAGUCUCCCUCUCUGGGCCUCCAGAAGCCGGCUACAGCCCCGUGCACCAGGCCCACGGGCCGAUGGGGGCUGCGCUGCUCAGCGGUAGCCUCAGGGACCCGCUUAGGAGUGUGUCUCGGGAUGGAGUGCCCGUCACUCGCCUCCAGCGGAGGGCCCGCUGGCCAGCUUUCGGGCUGCUGAGGAGGGAGCCCUGCUGGGGUCAGGAGAGGCGGCUGCCGUCCGCACCGGCCCCAGCGGCCUGUCCCAGGCUCCGGCAGCUUGCUCACCCACCUGGAACAAACCUGGCCAGCCGGGAGCCCUGCGGGGAGCCCGACUCGCUUCGUGGGGGGCCAUUGGGGCUAAUGUUUAACGGGCUCCCUCCUUGGCGGGACACUCCAGUCCCUGCAGCCCUGAGCCUGGGCCGGCCCUGACCAUCCUGCUGCGAGGUGGGCCCCAGACAGUGGGCUCGGCCUCCUGCCCCGUGGAUAUAGAGACCUGGGGGGCGGCCGGCCUCCUCAGGCUCUGGGGCAGGCAGGGGCGUAGCAGGUGGCGUUCUGCCCUGCUCGUUCCUUCCAGGAGGCAGGAGCUCCCCCUCCAGCGGCUGCUAUAGGUCCGCGUCCCUGCUGUUGGAGAAAGUCGGCCCCUUUGUCCAUUUGGGUGCAUUUGCAUCUCAUUUGAACGUUUUCUCCUCUCUGGGGACAGGCGAACUCCAAGGUGCGUAUGCAUUGCCCUUGGUCCCCGGCCACAUCCCUUCUGGAAAGUUACAGGCCGGGCUCUGUUGAGGCAAGUCUGAUCCCAGAGAAGGGUGACCGCCAAGGCAGGUUGACGCAGGUCCCCGUCCCCAGCCUGCAGCUGUCACAGCCCUUGACGCGUGGUGCGCGACUUCAACUCUCCCAACCUCCGUCUCCUCAUGUGUCAAUGAAUCUGAGAUAACAGGUACCCUUAGGUUUUGGUGAGAACGUAAUGAUGUGAUUCUGGUAAGGCAUGUUAUUAAGUCAUGACUAAGAGUCCGGGCUCUAACAGACCAGCUGAGUUCGGUCCUGGCCCCUCGUUCACUAACCGCGUGACCAUGGAAAGCUGUUAACCUCUCUGUGCCUCACUGUUCCCAUCUGUGAAAUGGGAGUGGUUGUGGUCCCUCUCUCACGGGGUGUCGUGAAGGUUAGAUGAGCUAAUUCAGGUGCAGAGAGCAGUGCCUAGAGUGGAGUGAGUGCUGCGGCCGCUGGUCUUCAGUGGGGCCCAGCUCCCGGCUCUGCCCUGCUCGUGUCCAGGCUGGGUCCCUGCGUGGUGAGUGGGGACCGGGUGGAAUCGUGGUUCUCUCUCUCCAGAGACCACGCCUCCCGCCCAGGCCCUGCAGUGGCCACAACUAAGCCAGCCCCGCCCACUGCCACCCCAAGGAGCCCUGUGACAGAGCCCCCUGGCCGUCACCACUCAGGGCUCCGUUGCACGGGGGUAGGCUAGGUCUGGCCCUGCCAGGAAGCAGAACGGACUGGACAUCCUCCCGGAGGGCUUUGGGUGGGGCAGGGGCCCUUUCCCAGAGGGCCCUCCUCCCACGGGCUCUCCGCGCCAGGCGUUUGCUCUGAGUCAGGCCUGGCUUUGCAGGGCAGGGUGGGGGCCCCAGCGUGCUGGGCCCCAGGUCAGUAGUUGGGGGGCGGAACGGAGCACUGCCUUUGCAACUCGGGGCCAGGAUCUCCCAGGGCUGAGAGGAAGCAGAGGGGGGAGGCCACGCUACGGACCCAGGCCGGCUGCAGUGACCUGUGCGUCAGGGAAGGGGGCGUGUGUGUGGCUGCCAGGCAUGAGACCCAAGCCAGGCUCUGUGCCUGGCCCAGCCCCGCCGGGCUCUCCCGCUGCGUGUGUGUGUGUGUGUGUGUGUGUGUGUGUGUGUCUGGGUGUGUGUAUGUGUGUCUGGGUGUGUGUGUGUCUGGGUGUGUCUGCGCCUGAGAGUUUCCGCGUUUCUAGGAGCUGUUUUCUUUGAGCACGUCCACCUCUCCGCCCACUGAGCUGUUUGCAGCAAGGACCCAGGCAGACUGCUCUUCCCCCAGCACAUCUCGGGCUGCUGGUCCUUCAGCGGCUGGCGGCUGCGUGGCCGGGAGCCAGACCCCGGCCCAGGGGCCCCUGGUGCUGCACUUUGCUCCCAGCUUCUGGCAUUUAUGGUGGAUAAUGCACUGGGAGCAGAGGGCAGAACAGGGACUCACAGGCAGCUGGAGGGCUCUUCACACAGCCCAGCCUCUCCUGGGGCCAGUGCCGGGCGGCCAAAAAGCCAAGGGCCGGGCCGGGGACCAGCCGCUUCCUCGUAGGCAUAUCUCAGGAGUCACACGACACUGCCCGGAAAAGCCUCUCUGGCCCAGACGUUGGUCUCUGCUCCACGGGAGCUGCUGCCCUCCGUAUGUGUGGAGGGGUGCCCCCAGGCCCCCCAUUCCACCCCAGCAGACUUGCACCCCUCACCGGGCUUUGGCCCAGAUGUCAGCGGGAUGGAGAAAGGACCUGACCUGGAGGACAGACAACUGACUGCCACAGCUUGGGACAGAAUCAGUCCUGGGGGACAUGGUCCGUCAGGAGUGUGAAGGAAAGACAGUCAGGGAGGGUGGAUGCAGGUGGACAGGGCUGGCCCAGGACCCGAUGGGAGAGCCCAGGGCAGGCGUGAACAAGGAGCUGCCUGGUGGCCGGGGUGGAACUGCAGGGCAUCCCCCUGGCUGGGCCAGGACACUGACCUGACUGCUCACCCCGAGGGUCAGGCACACCAGGGCACCCGGGAGAGGGGAGCCGGGGGAACGGCCCCGUGAGAGCAGCAGGGCCAGGGGCUGGGAAUGGAGGGGCCCCCUGACAGCUGCAGGUCAGGCUGGGCUGAGCUGAGCACCCUGGCGGUGAGGCUGUGCUGUGUGGUGUCACCGGACCAGAUGGCAGGGGGACCAGGAGGACCUGAGCAGGUGGCCCUCCAUGCUGCCCCGAGCUGCUGCCUGAAGCCCAGCACAGCCUCCCUCACAGGCUCCCUGCCUUCCCCCUCCCCCAGGUGCUUCCAGCCAGAGCUGCAGAAGUGAGCAGGACACUGGUUUUAAUGGAGAGGCUGUGACGCCCACGGGCGCUUGACAUACAGAGUGGAGGGUGCAUGCCUCCUCGAGGCCUGUUUGCCCCACAGCGGCCGGAGCCCCAGGGAGCCCACCCGCCAGCCAGGCGACGUCUUCAGAUGCUGCCGUUCCUCCCCUCUGUGUCUGUUAAUCCCAGUCCCGCCUGAAGGCGCUCAGGCUGGAGGGGAGACGUGGGAGCAGGGGGCGCGCUCUGCAGUGCAGGGGGGUAUGCUGAGAGGCCAGCGGGCGGGGCUGCAGGAAGGAGCAGGCAGGGCACCCGGAGCACAGUUUGGCCAGCUGCCUGCAGGACAGAGAGGCAGCAGCCCUCAGUUCCCAGUCCUUCUCACCCCGGCACCCAGGCUGGACUGCUGUCCACAGGGGCUCCUACGAGCCUCAGCUCUCCCCACCCUCCUCCCCACGGGGCUCCUCGCACCUGUCCGCCUGGGCAUCCUCCCACGCGUGGCUAAUCCCCACCUCUGAGCUCUGGUUGCACCAUCAGCCCCUGACACGCCCUCCUGCGUCCGCAACCCCAUCACAUCCUCGGAGAGCCUGCCCCUCCAGGAGGCUUCUCAGACGGACAGGGCUGUCGGACAGACCCUGCCCUGUUGCAUGUGCCCUCCGCACGCCCACAGAGGGCUCCACGUGUCCUAACGUUCUGCUUUCUCCAGCGGCUUCCUCGGAGAGUGGGUGGCCUUGUCUCCUCUGAAUGGAAGCCCCCCGACCAGUGCUGGGCACUUUGCAGGAUUCCCCAGGAGGCAGUUAAAAGCGCUUUAGACUUUUGGAAAGUCAGAGCUGGAAGGCCCUGGGGGUCAUGGAAUCCAGGGGUUCUAAGCUCUGGCAUCAGAGUCACCCAGGGGCUGAUCCCACCCCAGAGGCUCAGAUCCAGCAGGCCUGGGAGGGGCCACAUCAUCUGCGCCCCAGGUGAUACACCUGGGGGAUCACGGAACUGACGCAACCCCCAUGCUGCAGGUGAGGGAGUGAAGGGCCCCGAAGCAGGAAGGAUGUGCCUACGGUCUCGGGGGACCAGGACUGAGCCACCUCAGGGCUCCCCUUCCCCGCCCACCCUGCCCAGCCCGCCAGCCGCCCGUCCUGGCGUCCCUGCUGCCCUGUCAGCUGGGGCCUGGGAGCGGGGAGCUGGCUCCGCCUACCUCUACUGGGAGGUCGGGGACUUAGCAGCGUCGAACAUCUUCUUGCGGCCCUCCAUACCGGACAUGGCCUCCACGUUCUUCCUCCAGUCGCCCACCUCCACGGGCCGCUCCUGUGGGCGGCCACACAGGGGACACCUAGCACCAGGCCCUCCCCGCGCAGGAGCGGCUGGGUGAUGGGAAGUCAGCCUCCCCUAAGAGGUGGGACAUCCCAGCCCUCCUCCCAGAACAGGGGUCCUGGAACGUGCCGCCAGCUGGCGGGGCUCAUGUGGGGGGUGCAGGGCUGGCCGAGGCCGCGUCGGGUGAGGUCGGGGCUCACCUUCUCCGUGUCCUCCUUUUUCACAGACUUGAGGUUGGCGCGCAGGUCCAUGGACACCUUGUGCUUGGAGCCCAGCAGGGCGCGCAGCAUGGCGUCAGCCGAGACGCGGACGCGCCGCAGGGGGGGGCGCUUGAACUUCCCGCGCAGGUCCAGCACCUUGAGCUUCAGGUCCUUGAUCUGCGGGGAGGGGGCAGCUCAGGGCUCCGGGCCCCAGCCAGGCCCCACUUCUCCAGGCUCCAGGCCAGGCCCUCGGGGACGCCCAGACCCACUAUCUGUCACCUUGCAAACAGCCACCUCUGUUCUAUCCUAUUCAAUUGGUACAGGGGUGAGUGGGACUCCGAGAGGGAACUCGGUUAGCCGUGGCGGCCAUGGCGGCCAUGCAGGGAAGAGACAGACGUGUCAUUCGGAAGCCCUGUUUGCAGUGGGACGGGCCACUUCCUCUUAUUCCCGCUUCUAACCAGUCCCUUCCCAGUGAGCCUUCAGAGCAGGUCAUUGAGGGCACAGCCCUGGUCCAGCAGGAUGAAUAAACCCCAUGUCCGAGCCCCCUGGGGGAUUUCCAGGGUGCAACCUCAGGAGGAAAUUCUGGGGGGAUCCCUGAACCCACAGACCGUCAUUCCUGCUGGGGAGGAGUGGGAAGGAGGGAAGUGGCUCUAGUCCCUCCCCACUCCUCUGCUGGAACAGGCGCCCACUCCAGCAGCAGGAGCCCUGCCCCUCCGCAUCCUGCCCACCGCACCAGAGCUGGGUCUGGGUGGAGCUGAUGCCCCGCGCCCCAUGCCGGGGGAGUGCUGAGUGACUGGAGUGAGGGUCCGAGGCCAGGCCCAUCCCAGGUCCACUUGCUGUGUGACCUGGGCCGAGUUUCUCAGCCUCUCUGAACCUGUGUGCUCAUCUGUCAGGUGCAGAUAAAAGCACCCACUUCGUCCACAGGCGUGCAGGGAGGAUUAAAGGGACAAGGCACAUGAAAGCCGUUUGCAAGAUUCAGAGACUCAGCUCCCUGACCGAGGGGCUGAAUCCUGCAAGACACUGCGUGGGUCACAGGGUCUGGGCACCCCCUUCCUCAUCUGUGAGUCAGGAUGCUGAGACCCACCUUACCCAGUCCACAGAGGGACUACAGACAGAAUGAGAUGGUGGGUGAGCACCGGCUUCGAACAGCGGGCAUGAGGCACGCGGCCUGGCGCGCUGGGGCAAUGUUGUGUCACCAGAGAAGUAAGCCCUGAGUUCCCUCAGUAAAGACGCUCCAUCUCUUUAGACGUCCAAACUCUUCUUGAUGUCAACACAAUCCAUGUAAAUUGCUCUCAGUUAUGCAGACAAUAUUUUCUCUUCUUAUUAAACAUGCUUGACAUCUC
Molecule: long non-coding RNA, 6620 nt
Organism: Lagenorhynchus albirostris (white-beaked dolphin)
Lineage: Eukaryota; Metazoa; Chordata; Mammalia; Artiodactyla; Delphinidae
Exons: 2
Source: RefSeq, a predicted model, not a curated record